Molecule: ribosomal RNA, 373 nt
Filed under: uncultured organism
Description: partial 16S ribosomal RNA
Rfam family: Bacterial small subunit ribosomal RNA
Source: RNAcentral
GUAGGUGGCAAGCGUUGUCCGGAAUUAUUGGGCGUAAAGCGCGCGCAGGCGGUCCUUUAAGUCUGAUGUGAAAGCCCACGGGCUCAACCGUGGAGGGUCAUUGGAAACUGGGGGACUUGAGUGCAGAAGAGGAAAGCGGAAUUCCACGUGUAGCGGUGAAAUGCGUAGAGAUGUGGAGGAACACCAGUGGCGAAGGCGGCUUUCUGGUCUGUAACUGACGCUGAGGCGCGAAAGCGUGGGGAGCAAACAGGAUUAGAUACCCUGGUAGUCCACGCCGUAAACGAUGAGUGCUAAGUGUUAGGGGGUUUCCGCCCCUUAGUGCUGCAGCUAACGCAUUAAGCACUCCGCCUGGGGAGUACGGCCGCAAAGGCUG